UACGGGGGGGGCAAGCGUUGUUCGGAAUUACUGGGCGUAAAGGGCUCGUAGGUGGCCAACUAAGUCGGACGUGAAAUCCCUCGGCUUAACCGGGGAACUGCGUCCGAUACUGGUUGGCUUGAGUUUGGGAGAGGGAUGCGGAAUUCCAGGUGUAGCGGUGAAAUGCGUAGAUAUCUGGAGGAACGCCGGUGGCGAAGGCGGCAUCCUGGACCAACACUGACGCUGAGGAGCGAAAGCCAGGGGAGCAAACGGG
Molecule: ribosomal RNA, 253 nt
Filed under: uncultured bacterium
Lineage: Bacteria
Description: partial 16S ribosomal RNA
Rfam family: Bacterial small subunit ribosomal RNA
Source: RNAcentral